UACGAAGGGGGCUAGCGCUGUGCGGAUUUACUGGGCGUAAAGCGCAUGUAGGCGGGGCGUUAAGUUGGGGGUGAAAUCCCGAGGCUCAACCUCGGAACUGCCUUCAAAACUGGCGACCUGGAGCAAGAUAGAGGCAAGUGGAAUUGCGAGUGUAGAGGUGAAAUUCGUAGAUAUUCGCAGGAACACAAGUGGCGAAGGCGACUUGCUGGAUCUUUGCUGACGCUGAGAUGCGAAAGCGUGGGGAGCAAACAGG
This 253-nucleotide ribosomal RNA is filed under the name uncultured bacterium. RNAcentral describes it as "partial 16S ribosomal RNA". It matches the Rfam family "Bacterial small subunit ribosomal RNA", at positions 524 to 776 of the family's 1533-position model. The record is from RNAcentral.